Non-coding RNA from Macrobrachium nipponense, 73 nucleotides. Lineage: Eukaryota; Metazoa; Arthropoda; Malacostraca; Decapoda; Palaemonidae. The record is from the annotation of a RefSeq genome assembly.
GUUUCCGUAGUGUAGAGGUUAUCACGUGUGCUUCACACGUGCAAGGUCCCUGGUUCGAUCCUGGGCGGAAACA